Cyprinus carpio (common carp) is the source of this 1092-nucleotide long non-coding RNA. Lineage: Eukaryota; Metazoa; Chordata; Actinopteri; Cypriniformes; Cyprinidae. The record is from Ensembl.
AUGGAGGACAUCAUAAGAGGCACCCUUCCCCAUCUGGAUAGUAAGACUGUGGAGACUAUAGUUAAAGAUUUUCCCUCAUUGGGAGUAAGGGAGAUUAACAAAUUUAUGUACAUCAAAGAGGAUGACAUCAGACAUCUGUCCAUAGUUGAUUGCAGAAAACUACUACAAAGAUUCAACAACAUAGAUAAUGGAGCCCAACAGAACAAUCUGCUAAGAGACUCUGCUGCUUCUGACAUGAUAACACUGACUCUUAAACCAAUGUCUUCAUUAGAAGCCUCUUCAAGCACACAGUUUGCACUACCAGCUCAGCACUCUACCCCUGUGCAGCACAGCACCUCGCACCCAACUUUCCAAGUACCUUGGGACAAGACCAGACCAGGUCUAAGAACAUUACUUGAACUGGACUUGGACACUUGGACACUUCACUUUGUGUUCACAAUUUUUGUGUUCAAAUUACAACCUGAACAGGAACAACACCCCUGCACGCCUAAGAAAACCAAAAAGGCCUGCUGUAAUGGUGGAGAAUAGCCAGCCAGCACCACCCAGAAAAUGUGCAAAACUCUGAAAAAAAUUGAUGAUAAUCACAUAUGAGGCCCAGCAACGUGCCAUCGAUGCAUCACCUGCACCUAGCAUUAACCAACUAAAGACUGAUUGGCCUUUCCUGAAGAGUUCUUUCCUUGUUCAUGAAGAGAUUUCUGAUCCAGAAUUCCAGUACACUUACAGGCAUUGAAUUAGAAGCAAGACUCAGGGAGUCCAUCACUGGAAAAGGAAGAAAGGUUCUCCAUUUCUUCAAGUCUCAAUUGCUGCGCUGGAGAAAAGAGGUGAGGACAGUCCUUGCAGACAUAGAAAGAGAAUCUAGAGAUGUGGAUCCUGGCCUUGCUGCCAUUUGGUGAUAAUGGCAAUCUUCAAAGAAAAAGAAGAUUCACUUUUCCUUCUGGCUGAUGUAAGUACAGUAAUUGUUUUAUGAUACUGUCAUAACAUACAGGUUUUUAGAUGUUUGAUUAGUUUGUUCUUUGUAAUUUACUGUUGGGAAAUUGAAACACUUUAAUCUAUUAGUUUAGAUUGCAAUAAAAAAAUUAGACUACAAUAACA